GCGGGGCGUGUCUAGUAUAGCAUUAUACCGCGAAACUGCGAAUGGCUCAUUAUAUAAGUUAUCGUUUAUUUGAUAGUACCUUACUACUUGGAUAACCGUGGUAAUUCUAGAGCUAAUACAUGCUAAAAAUCCCGACUUCGGAAGGGAUGUAUUUAUUAGAUUAAAAACCAAUGCCCUUCGGGGCUCACUGGUGAUUCAUGAUAACUCCUCGAAUCGCAUGGCCUUGUGCCGGCGAUGGUUCAUUCAAAUUUCUUCCCUAUCAACUUUCGAUGUUUGGGUAUUGGCCAAACAUGGUUGCAACGGGUAACGGAGGGUUAGGGCUCGACCCCGGAGAAGGAGCCUGAGAAACGGCUACUACAUCCAAGGAAGGCAGCAGGCGCGCAAAUUACCCAAUCCCGACACGGGGAGGUAGUGACAAUAAAUACUGAUACAGGGCUCUUUUGGGUCUUGUAAUUGGAAUGAGUACAAUUUAAAUCCCUUAACGAGGAACAAUUGGAGGGCAAGUCUGGUGCCAGCAGCCGCGGUAAUUCCAGCUCCAAUAGCGUAUAUUAAAGUUGUUGUGGUUAAAAAGCUCGUAGUUGAACCUUGGGCCUGGCUGGCCGGUCCGCCUCACCGCGUGUACUGGUCCGGCCGGGCCUUUCCCUCUGUGGAACCCCAUGCCCUUCACUGGGUGUGGCGGGGAAACAGGACUUUUACUGUGAAAAAAUUAGAGUGCUCCAGGCAGGCCUAUGCUCGAAUACAUUAGCAUGGAAUAAUAGAAUAGGACGUGUGGUUCUAUUUUGUUGGUUUCUAGGACCGCCGUAAUGAUUAAUAGGGACAGUCGGGGGCAUCAGUAUUCAAUUGUCAGAGGUGAAAUUCUUGGAUUUAUUGAAGACUAACUACUGCGAAAGCAUUUGCCAAGGAUGUUUUCAUUAAUCAGGAACGAAAGUUAGGGGAUCGAAGACGAUCAGAUACCGUCGUAGUCUUAACCAUAAACUAUGCCGACUAGGGAUCGGAACGGUGUUAUUUUUUUGACCCGUUUCGGCACCUUACGAGAAAAUCAAAGUGCUUGGGGCUCCAGGGGGGAGUAUGGGUCCCAAGGCUGAAAAUUUAAGAAAAUUUGACGGAAGGGGCCCCCCCCGGGGGGGGAGACCCGGCGGCUUUAAUUUUGACUCCACCCCGGGGGAAAAUUCCCCCCGGGCCCCAAACCCAAUGGAGGGAAUUGGCCAAAUUUUGGAGACCUCUUUCCUCGAAAUU
RNAcentral lists this ribosomal RNA (1236 nucleotides) under Fusarium oxysporum f. sp. cubense. Its description in RNAcentral is "SSU rRNA". It matches the Rfam family "Eukaryotic small subunit ribosomal RNA", at positions 48 to 1267 of the family's 1831-position model. The record is from RNAcentral. Lineage: Eukaryota; Fungi; Ascomycota; Sordariomycetes; Hypocreales; Nectriaceae.